CACACCUAAUCUACUGGAUAGUAAACAGUUACUUGGAUAACUGCGGUAAUUCUGGAGCUAAUACAUGCACAAAGCCGCGACUCACGAAGCGGCGCUUUUAUUAGAUCAAAACCAAACGGCUUCGGCUGUACUCAUGGUGACUCUGAAUAACUUUGGGCUGAUCGCAUAGCCUUGAGCUGGCGACAUAUCCUUCGAAGGUGUGCCCUAUCAACUUUCGACUGUGGCAUAGACGCCCACAGUGGUUUUGACGGGUAACGGGGAAUCAGGGUUCGAUUCCGGAGAGGGAGCCUUAAAAACGGCUACCACAUCUAAGGAAGGCAGCAGGCACGCAAAUUACCCAAUGACCGAAGGUCGAGGUA
RNAcentral lists this ribosomal RNA (359 nucleotides) under uncultured marine eukaryote. RNAcentral's name for it is "SSU rRNA". It matches the Rfam family "Eukaryotic small subunit ribosomal RNA", at positions 107 to 466 of the family's 1831-position model. The record is from RNAcentral.